This 460-nucleotide ribosomal RNA is filed under the name uncultured bacterium. RNAcentral describes it as "partial 16S ribosomal RNA". It matches the Rfam family "Bacterial small subunit ribosomal RNA", at positions 338 to 795 of the family's 1533-position model. The record is from RNAcentral.
CCUACGGGGGGCAGCAGUGAGGAAUAUUGGUCAAUGGCCGAAAGCCUGAACCAGCCAAGCCGCGUGAAGGAUGAAGGAGCUAUGGUUUGUAAACUUCUUUUAUAAGGGAAUAAAAUGAGGCCCGAGUUCCUUUUCGUGUGUACUUUAUGAAUAAGCAUCGGCUAACUCCGUGCCAGCAGCCGCGGUAAUACGGAGGAUGCGAGCUUUAUCCGGAUUUAUUGGGUUUAAAGGGUGCGUAGGGGGGUAAUUAAGUCAGCGGUGAAAGUUUGGGGCUCAACCAUAAGAGAGCCGUUGAUACUGGCUGUCUUGAGAAGACGUGAGGUAUGCGGAAUGCGCGGUGUAGCGGUGAAAUGCUUAGAUAUUGCGAAGAACUCCGAUUGCGAAGGCAGCAUACUAACGUAGAUCUGACACUGAGGCACGAAAGCGUGGGUAUCGAACAGGAUUAGAUACCCCUGUAGUC